GAUGAACGCUGGCGGCGUGCCUAAUACAUGCAAGUCGAGCGAACAGACGAGGAGCUUGCUCCUCUGACGUUAGCGGCGGACGGGUGAGUAACACGUGGAUAACCUACCUCUAAGACUGGGAUAACUUCGGGAAACCGGAGCUAAUACCGGAUAAUAUAUUGAACCGCAUGGUUCAAUAGUGAAAGACGGUUUUGCUGUCACUUAUAGAUGGAUCCGCGCCGCAUUAGCUAGUUGGUAAGGUAACGGCUUACCAAGGCUACGAUGCGUAGCCGACCUGAGAGGGUGAUCGGCCACACUGGAACUGAGACACGGUCCAGACUCCUACGGGAGGCAGCAGUAGGGAAUCUUCCGCAAUGGGCGAAAGCUUGACGGAGCAACGCCGCGUGAGUGAUGAAGGUCUUCGGAUCGUAAAACUCUGUUAUUAGGGAAGAACAAAUGUGGAAGUAACUAUGCACGUCUUGACGGUACCUAAUCAGAAAGCCACGGCUAACUACGUG
RNAcentral lists this ribosomal RNA (497 nucleotides) under uncultured bacterium. RNAcentral describes it as "partial 16S ribosomal RNA". It matches the Rfam family "Bacterial small subunit ribosomal RNA", at positions 28 to 507 of the family's 1533-position model. The record is from RNAcentral.